This 795-nucleotide long non-coding RNA is filed under the name Parus major (Great Tit). Its description in RNAcentral is "lncRNA (ENSPMJG00000011652.1)". The record is from RNAcentral. Lineage: Eukaryota; Metazoa; Chordata; Aves; Passeriformes; Paridae.
GUCAGUGCCUAAGCAGAUCUGACUCAUUGGAGACACUUAUCCCCCUUUGUUUAUGGUGGAGGAAGUCUCUUGCUCUCUUGAAAGCUCUGUGUGUCUGUGAAUAAGCAGUGUGAAUGCAUUUUCCCCCUCUUUAGUAGCUACUCUCUAGCUACUCUCUGUAUGAGAGGCCUUGAAGUUUGUUUGCUGGAUCAGGGCUACAAAAUAGCCGAGGUUCACAUCCCAGUACUAUCCCAAGGAGGAUCAGCAGGCCCACAACCACUGUUUGAAGGAGGAGAGCUCAUUUAGAGCUCAGAAAAUGGACAUAUAAAAGAUGACAAAAUGGACCCUGCAGUUGGACCAGAAUCCAACCAGUAGAGUAUCGAGACUGGCAGGGGAGGGUGUGUGUGGAGUGAAGAAAGAAGAAAUAGCCAUUGUGGAAAUUCAGUCAAAUGGAAUGGAACUGAAGAUUUUUGGUUUCUUUUCCUUUUGCUACCAAAAAACCACCCCAAACCAAAACAUCCUAAGGGGAGGAAGGCAGCUAGUGAAGAAGUCUAAAAAGCCUGUGUUGGAAGGUUAUUUCUUCUGAUUCAGCAGUUAAGAAUGAGUGUCACAAAAACUAAGGUGCCACAGAGGAAUAGCAGUUGCAGCAUUUUCUGUCUGGAGUAUCUGUAAUCAUUGACACAGGAAUGCUGAUUCAAGAAGUUUGCAAAGAAAGACACUGAAGUUGAUAAAGGCUGGAACAAAAUGGUUUUGUUUGUGCUAAAUAACUGAAAUUACAAUCAAAUAAAGAUUUGAAGAAAACCUAGAGAAAGAUCA